CUCCAUGAUGAUCUUAUGAUCAGGAGUAAUUUAGAAAUUAAUCAUCAAUGAUACAUGCUUCAAAUUUUCAACUCUUUGAGAAUAUGUGUCAUCAUCUCGUUAAUCCCUUAGAUGAUUCAUGGACACAUAAAUAUAAAUGGUAAUAUAACUAUCCAAUAAGUAUAAAAUCAGAUCCUAGAGAUAUGAAAUGUGUUAGCCAAGAUUGACUUCUAGGGUAUACAUCCAAUAGUGCUGUCGUCUGGGGCAUGUAGGAAGAUGAAAGCCACGGUAUCUGUAGAUCAGAAGGUGGUGGCAGGUGGCAUAUGUGCAGCAUGCGGUGAUGACAUCUAUAGAAUAUAUGGUGAUGGCAUAUGUAGAAUAUAUGGUGAUUGUGUAUAUCUCAUAUCUGAUGCAUCUCCUGCUUCAUGUCAAGGCAUGGUAAUAUGCUCAUAGCCAAUCACCAUCAAUAUCCCUGAAUAUGACCUCUUC
This 468-nucleotide long non-coding RNA is filed under the name Elaeis guineensis (African oil palm). RNAcentral describes it as "long non-coding RNA (EGUI_LNC000713)". Lineage: Eukaryota; Viridiplantae; Streptophyta; Magnoliopsida; Arecales; Arecaceae. The record is from RNAcentral.